AUAUCAAUAAGCGGAGGAAAAGAAACCAACAGGGAUUGCCUUAGUAGCGGCGAGUGAAGCGGCAAGAGCUCAAAUUUGAAAUCUGGUACCUUCGGUGCCCGAGUUGUAAUUUGAAGAAAACUGUCUUGGAUUUGGCCUUUGUCUAUGUUCCUUGGAACAGGACGUCAUAGAGGGUGAGAAUCCCGUGCGAUGGAGUGCCCAUUUCCUUGUAAGACGUUUUCGAAGAGUCGAGUUGUUUGGGAAUGCAGCUCAAAGUGGGUGGUAAAUUCCAUCUAAAGCUAAAUAUUGGCGAGAGACCGAUAGCGAACAAGUACUGUGAAGGAAAGAUGAAAAGAACUUUGAAAAGAGAGUGAAAAAGUACGUGAAAUUGUUGAAAGGGAAGGGUAUUCGAUCAGACUUGGUAUUUAGUUAUCAUUGCUUCUCGUGAGUGGUGCUCUAGCUUUUUACUGGGCCAGCAUCAGUUUUGGUGGUGAGAUAAUGGCAGUUGAAUGUGGCUCCUCGGAGUGUUAUAGCUUCUGUUGAUAUUACCUACUGGGACUGAGGUCUGCGGCUUUGCCUAGGAUGCUGGCGUAAUGAUCCAAUACCGCCCGUCUUGAAACAUGGACCAAGGAGUCUAACGUCUAUGCGAGUGUUUGGGUGUAAAACCCGUACGCGUAAUGAAAGUGAACGUAGAUCAGGGCCCUCUGGGUGCAUGAUCGACCGAUCCUGACGUUUUCUGAUGGAUUUGAGUAAGAGCAUAGCUGUUGGGACCCGAAAGAUGGUGAACUAUGCCUGAAUAGGGUGAAGCCAGAGGAAACUCUGGUGGAGGCUCGUAGCGGUUCUGACGUGCAAAUCGAUCGUCAAAUUUGGGUAUAGGGGCGAAAGACUAAUCGAACCAUCUAGUAGCUGGUUCCUGCC
RNAcentral lists this ribosomal RNA (897 nucleotides) under Ogataea sp. RNAcentral's name for it is "partial large subunit ribosomal RNA". It matches the Rfam family "Eukaryotic large subunit ribosomal RNA", at positions 40 to 962 of the family's 3401-position model. Lineage: Eukaryota; Fungi; Ascomycota; Pichiomycetes; Pichiales; Pichiaceae. The record is from RNAcentral.